Molecule: long non-coding RNA, 1928 nt
Filed under: Polistes fuscatus (common paper wasp)
Lineage: Eukaryota; Metazoa; Arthropoda; Insecta; Hymenoptera; Vespidae
Description: uncharacterized LOC122513870
Source: RNAcentral
GUCUCUCUUUUAUAUAUAUGAAGAACGAAAAGAGAAAAGUUCGUUUCCUAGUACGUUUGCAGGAAUAAAUCGAAAGUCGAAUUACGUAAGAAUCGGUAGACGACUAUUACGUGUCGCUCAGAAUAUGAGCGCACACUCGCUAGUAACAAAUAAGCAAGCAAGCAAAAACGUGCACGCGUGGGUGUUGUGUUAUGUGUAGAGAAGAAGAAGCAACCGGUGCGCAACCAAGCGCAGCGCGCACCAAGAGCGCACCUUUUUUCAAUAUUUCCCCGAGUCAAAUGACGAGGGAAAAAUAGUGAAUUAAUUUUUAUUCGGACAACUUGUUCAGCGCGAUGCGAAAUAUUUUGUCCUCCUGUUCGCGAAGGAAAAAAAAAGGAAAAGAAAAAAACAAUAAAUCUUUUGAUAUAAUAAAUAAGCACAGAAGGAAAUUGUGAAAGAGAGUGUGUUACGAACGCGAUCAACCUGUAUAUUAUUAUUAGAUUCUAGGCCGAUCGCGCUUGCUCGGCAAGCCGUUGCGCUCGUCGAAAGUAGAAAAGUUGUUGUCACCCCCUUCAUCUUGCAAGAUCACCGCUUACGAAAGUAUUCGAAUUUCGUAAAAAAAAGGAAAAAAAAGGAAAAAAAGGAAAGAAUACGAAUAAUAAGUAGAUAAUAUUAAUUGUUAUUCCUUCGUACGGGAUACUACCGAUUAUGUUAAAAAAAGGAUAGAAACGUGGGUGACAAAAACGAUAGGAUCAUUUCGCAUAGUAUCAUUUUUCAGUGUUUUUAUCCUUUUCCUUCCCGAACGAUCGCAAAAAGAUGAUCAUCACGUAACCGAACGAUUAUUUUAUAUCUCGGUGUUUUCGAGUUAGGAUCUAUCUCUAUAUCCCAAGUCCUGACGAUGAUCGCAACGAUUCGUAAUUCGAAACGAACAAUUGCGAAAAGAAAAAAAUAGAAAAAAAUAGAAAAAACAAAGACAAGAUUUAUCCGCUUCUUAUUUUCUUCGUCUCCUUUUUUUUCUCGUUUCAUCGAAAAAAUACAUUUCUAUUUCUACCAAGCGUAAAACGUUUUAUCCUUGACCGUUGAAGAAGCAACCGCGACCGAACAAUUAGUUUGGCUUUGACGUCGUAUUUGCGCGAUUUACGUCGAUCAGAAUGAAUGACACGACGCAACAACUUUUAAAUGCACGACGACAAUGUUAAAAGAGAAAAUCAUCGAUCCGUUAUUCGAUCUUCUCUCUUACUUCUUCUUCUAUUGUUAUUAUUAUUAUUAUUUUUCACGUUGAUUCAAUCAAUCGUUCACGAUACCGAUUCGUGAUCUUUUAUUUUAAACGUAACGCGUACGCUAUUAAUAUACUUCGCUUCGAUCAAUCAGUUAUUGUUAGGUGAUAGAGCAGGACGAGUAGUUGCAUCUCCUUCAAUUUUCUUUCUUAUUAUUUUUUAACACUCGUCAAAAUUGCUAUGCAAGAGUAUUACAUUUAUUUUUAUCCAUAACGAUGAGACGACGAGAUGAUCAUUUAUCGUUAGGAAAAGGAAAAGGAAAAGAAAAAGAUUACAAUGGAUUGCAUUUAAUAAAAUGAUUUUUUCUUGUAAUCUCCAUUGGUUCAAUUUUCAAUCCGCGAACAAAUUUAACGAUAAAGAUUUGAAGAUAUAAUCACGGUAAAUAUCGAAGAUUCGAUUAUCACGUGUGGUGACCAGAAAAAAGUUACGUUGAAAUUUAGACGAACGGAUAGAUGGAAAGAAAAGCUUGCUUUCUAAUUGGAUGAGAGAAGCCCUAUUUUGCAGACUAACGAUCCGCUUUCUGUGUCAGCGGCAAAGUAAAAAGAUUUCGAACGCCGGAUAGACGCGAGAGGAAACUUUGAAAUAGAGCAAAAUAAUUUGGCUAGGUGGAAUUUCACGAAACAAAGCUACGUAUAGGGGGUACAAGUAGAAGAAGAAGGAGAAGAAGAAGGA